UGCCUCAGUAACGGCGAGUGAAGCGGCAAAAGCUCAAAUUUGAAAUCCCCCGGGAAUUGUAAUUUGAAGAGAUUUGGGUCCGGCCGGCGGGGGUUAAGUCCACUGGAAAGUGGCGCCACAGAGGGUGACAGCCCCGUGAACCCCUUCAACGCCCUCAUCCCAGAUCUCCAAGAGUCGAGUUGUUUGGGAAUGCAGCUCUAAGUGGGUGGUAAAUUCCAUCUAAAGCUAAAUACCGGCGAGAGACCGAUAGCGAACAAGUACAGUGAUGGAAAGAUGAAAAGCACUUUGAAAAGAGAGUGAAAAAGUACGUGAAAUUGUUGAAAGGGAAGGGCUUGCAAGCAGACACUUAACUGGGCCAGCAUCGGGGCGGCGGGAAACAAAACCACCGGGGAAUGUACCUUUCGAGGAUUAUAACCCCGGUCUCAAUUUCCUUGUUGCCCCGAGGCCUGCAAUCUAAGGAUGCUGGCGUAAUGGUUGCAAGUCGCCCGUCUUGAAACACGGACCAAGGAGUCUAACAAUCAUGCAAGUGUUUGGGCCCAAAACCCAUACGCGCAAUGAAAGUAACCGGAGCGAACCUU
RNAcentral lists this ribosomal RNA (578 nucleotides) under Saccharomyces cerevisiae (brewer's yeast). Its description in RNAcentral is "partial large subunit ribosomal RNA". It matches the Rfam family "Eukaryotic large subunit ribosomal RNA", at positions 76 to 745 of the family's 3401-position model. Lineage: Eukaryota; Fungi; Ascomycota; Saccharomycetes; Saccharomycetales; Saccharomycetaceae. The record is from RNAcentral.